This 253-nucleotide ribosomal RNA is filed under the name uncultured bacterium. RNAcentral describes it as "partial 16S ribosomal RNA". It matches the Rfam family "Bacterial small subunit ribosomal RNA", at positions 524 to 776 of the family's 1533-position model. The record is from RNAcentral.
UACAGAGGUCCCAAGCGUUGUUCGGAUUCAUUGGGCGUAAAGGGUGCGUAGGCGGUGGGGUAAGUUGGAUGUGAAAUCUUGGGGCUUAACCUCAAAAUUGCAUUCAAUACUGCUCCGCUCGAGUUCUGUAGAGGAGAUUGGAAUUUACGGUGUAGCAGUGAAAUGCGUAGAUAUCGUAAGGAACGCCAGUGGCGAAAGCGAAUCUCUGGACAGUUACUGACACUGAGGCUCGAAGGCCAGGGGAGCAAACGGG